AUGCUAAUUGCUCAGAUUGAGGGGAAGAUCAAUCGGCUGCAUCAAGGCGACGACAUGUCAGUGAUGACAUAUGUGGCAGAGCUGCAGGCUUUGUGGGCAGAGCAGGAUAACUGCGACCCUCUGGAACUCUACGAUGCGGCUUGCAUCGAGUCAGGGCGCAAGUGGAUUGCACGCAGGCGUGUGCUGAAACUGUUGGAGGGGCUUAGAGGUUGUUUUCAUGGCAGGAGGGCAUCCCUGUUGCACCAACCUCUCCUGCCCUCUCUUGAGGAGACUAUUGCUACUAUGUCUCAAGAGGAGGUGCGGCUAUCUCUUGAGCAUGCAGACAUGAAGGUUGUGCCGUCUUCGACAUUUGCAGUCACUGAGCGCAUGGAGUGGAGCGAUCCCAACAAAUGUCAUAUCUGUGGGGAGGCAGGUCACUGGAAGUGGGCGUGUCCAACUCGUGGCAGAGGCAGGGGAUACAACGGAGGGGGAACUGGCAGAGGCAGGAGUGCUAGAGGCAGAGGUGGAUACUCAGGGACCUCAAGGGGCCAGGCUUCUAGGGGCAGAGGUGGCUACUCAGGACACUCAGGGGAUCAGAGGGCUCACAUGACAGUGGCAGGAGACACUGGGACGUCAAAAGGCAAAGAUGCAAAUGAUGUUGACUAUGGAGACUUUGCUCUCUGGGCCUCCACUGAUGAAGGAGCGACAGACGAGCCAGACAGUUGGGACUGGCACCAGGCGUAG
RNAcentral lists this ribosomal RNA (723 nucleotides) under Triticum aestivum (bread wheat). RNAcentral describes it as "partial small subunit ribosomal RNA". The record is from RNAcentral. Lineage: Eukaryota; Viridiplantae; Streptophyta; Magnoliopsida; Poales; Poaceae.